Molecule: ribosomal RNA, 388 nt
Filed under: Prasinoderma sp.
Lineage: Eukaryota; Viridiplantae; Prasinodermophyta; Prasinodermophyceae; Prasinodermales; Prasinodermaceae
Description: partial small subunit ribosomal RNA
Rfam family: Eukaryotic small subunit ribosomal RNA
Source: RNAcentral
AUUCCAGCUCCAAUAGCGUAUAUUUAAGUUGUCGCAGUUAAAAAGCUCGUAGUUGGAUUUUGGGUCGGGGGCACCGGUCCGCCGUUCCGGUGUGCACUGGUGGCCCCUUCCUUUCUGCCGGGGACGUGCGUCGCACUUAAUUGGGUGGCGUUCGGAGUCGGCGUUGUUACUUUGAAAAAAUUAGAGUGUUCAAAGCAAGCCAUCGCUCUGAAUACAUUAGCAUGGAAUAACAUGAUAGGACUCCGGUCUUAUUUUGUUGGUUUCCGAGACUGGAGUAAUGAUUAAGAGGGACAGUCGGGGGCAUCCGUAUUUCAUUGUUAGAGGUGAAAUUCUUGGAUUUAUGAAAGACGAACUUCUGCGAAAGCAUUUGCCAAGGAUGUUUUCAUCA